AUUGAACGCUGGCGGCAGGCUUAACACAUUAAAGUCGAGCGAGGGGCGGACGGGUGAGUAAUGUCUGGGAAACUGCCUGAUGGAGGGGGAUAACUACUGGAAACGGUAGCUAAUCCCGCAGACCAUCAGAUCUGCCCAGAUGUGAUUAGCUAGUAGGUGGGGUAACGGCUUACCUAGGCGACGAUCCCUAGCUGGUCUGAGAGGAUGACCAGCCACACUGGAACUGAGUCACGGUCCAGAAUCCUACGGGAGGCAGCAGGGGGGAAUAUUGCACAAUGGGCGCAAGCCUGAUGCAGCCAUGCCGCGUUUGGGAAGAAGGCCUUCGGGUUGUAAAGCACUUUCAGCGGGGAGGCGUUACCCGCAGAAGAAGCACCGGCUAACUCCGUGCCAGCCGCCGCGGUAAUAC
RNAcentral lists this ribosomal RNA (406 nucleotides) under uncultured bacterium. Its description in RNAcentral is "partial 16S ribosomal RNA". It matches the Rfam family "Bacterial small subunit ribosomal RNA", at positions 30 to 526 of the family's 1533-position model. The record is from RNAcentral.